UGCUGCAUGGCUGUCGUCAGCUCGUGUCGUGAGAUGUUGGGUUAAGGUCCCGCAACGAGCGCAACCCCUGCAUUCAGUUGCCAUCGGGUGAAGCCGGGCACUCUGGAAGGACUGCCAUCGACAAGAUGGAGGAAGGUGGGACGACGUCAAGUCAUCAUGGCCCUUAUGUCCAGGCGACACACGUGCUACAAUGGCCGGCACAACGGGAAGCGAGUUCGCGAGGACGAGCGGAUCCCUUAAAGCCGGUCGCAGUUCGGAUUGAAGUCUGCAACUCGACUUCAUGAAGCUGGAAUCGCUAGUAAUCGCAGAUCAGCCAAGCUGCGGUGAAUACGUUCCCGGGCCUU
Molecule: ribosomal RNA, 344 nt
Filed under: uncultured Synergistaceae bacterium
Lineage: Bacteria; Thermotogati; Synergistota; Synergistia; Synergistales; Synergistaceae
Description: bacterial SSU rRNA
Rfam family: Bacterial small subunit ribosomal RNA
Source: RNAcentral